RNAcentral lists this transfer RNA (57 nucleotides) under Dipodomys ordii (Ord's kangaroo rat). It matches the Rfam family "tRNA", at positions 8 to 63 of the family's 71-position model. Rfam says of the family: Transfer RNA (tRNA) molecules are approximately 80 nucleotides in length. Their secondary structure includes four short double-helical elements and three loops (D, anti-codon, and T loops). Further hydrogen bonds mediate the characteristic L-shaped molecular structure. tRNAs have two regions of fundamental functional importance: the anti-codon, which is responsible for specific mRNA codon recognition, and the 3' end, to which the tRNAs corresponding amino acid is attached (by aminoacyl-tRNA synthetases). tRNAs cope with the degeneracy of the genetic code in two manners: having more than one tRNA (with a specific anti-codon) for a particular amino acid; and 'wobble' base-pairing, i.e. permitting non-standard base-pairing at the 3rd anti-codon position. Lineage: Eukaryota; Metazoa; Chordata; Mammalia; Rodentia; Heteromyidae. The record is from Rfam by way of RNAcentral.
UAGCUCAGUGGUAGAGUGUUUGCCUUGCAUGCAUGAGGCCCUAGGUUCAAUUCCUCG